UCGUCAGCUCGUGUCGUGAGAUGUUGGGUUAAGUCCCGCAACGAGCGCAACCCUUGUCAUUAGCUGCCAUCAUUAAGUUGGGCACUCUAAUGAGACUGCCGGUGACAAACCGGAGGAAGGUGGGGAUGACGUCAAGUCAUCAUGCCCCUUAUGACCUGGGCUACACACGUGCUACAAUGGACGGUACAACGAGAAGCGAACCUGCGAAGGCAAGCGGAUCUCUUAAAGCCGUUCUCAGUUCGGACUGUAGGCUGCAACUCGCCUACACGAAGCUGGAAUCGCUAGUAAUCGCGGAUCAGCACGCCGCGGUGAAUACGUUCCCGGGCCUUGUACACACCGCCCGUCACACCAUGAGAGUCUGUAACACCCAAAGCCGGUGGGAUAACCUUUAUAGGAGUCAGCCGUCUAAGGCUACGGACAGAUGAUUAGGGUGAAGUCGUAACAAGGUAACCGUA
RNAcentral lists this ribosomal RNA (455 nucleotides) under uncultured bacterium. Its description in RNAcentral is "bacterial SSU rRNA". It matches the Rfam family "Bacterial small subunit ribosomal RNA", at positions 1052 to 1504 of the family's 1533-position model. The record is from RNAcentral.